AUGUCAAGCUGGACAAACUUGACAUCCCUGCAGGCAUGCAGCUCAAUUUGCCCCUUGUUGACAUUCAUCAUGAUGUCGACAUAUGGGGCGCUAGUUGCGGAGGAGUUUGAUCCGUCGAGGUUUGCAGAUGGCAAGAGCUAUCACCUCGGCGCCUACUUCCCCUUUGGGAUUGGCCCUGCCAUCUGUGUUGGCCAGAAUCUCGCGAUAGUCGAGGCAAAGCUGGUGAUUGCAAUGGUCCUCCAGCGGUUUGUGCUUGAUGUCUCGCCAUCCUAUGUUCAUGCGCUGAUGAUGGUGAUGACCCUCCAACCCCAGUACGGUGCUCAAGUUCUUGUCCGCAAGAUCUGA
RNAcentral lists this ribosomal RNA (345 nucleotides) under Triticum aestivum (bread wheat). Its description in RNAcentral is "partial small subunit ribosomal RNA". Lineage: Eukaryota; Viridiplantae; Streptophyta; Magnoliopsida; Poales; Poaceae. The record is from RNAcentral.